GAUGAAGAACGCAGCGAAAUGCGAUACGUAGUGUGAAUUGCAGAAUUCAGUGAAUCAUCGAAUCUUUGAACGCACAUUGCACCUCUCGGUAUUCCGGGAGGUAUGCCAGUUCGAGCGUCAUUUGUACCCUCAAGCUCUGUUUGGUGUUGGGUGUUUGUCCCGCCUCUGUGUGUGAACUCGCCUCAAAACAAUUGGCAGCCGGCGUACUUGUUUCGGAGCGCAGCACAUUUUGCGAUCCAGAUCAACGUACAGCGGCAUCCAAGAAGCCUUAUUUAACGCUCUUGACCUCGGAUCAGGUAGGGAUACCCGCUGAACUUAAGCAUAUCAAUAAGCGGAGGA
RNAcentral lists this unclassified non-coding RNA (339 nucleotides) under soil metagenome. RNAcentral describes it as "partial contains 5.8S ribosomal RNA, internal transcribed spacer 2, and large subunit ribosomal RNA". The stretch from base 1 to 120 matches the Rfam family "5.8S ribosomal RNA", at positions 35 to 154 of the family's 154-position model. The record is from RNAcentral.